GUCCCAGUUCAGAUCGCAGUCUGCAACCCGACUGCGUGAAGUCGGAAUCGCUAGUAAUCGCGGAUCAGCAUGCCGCGGUGAAUACGUUCCCGGGCCUUGUACACACCGCCCGUCACACCAUGGGAGUCGGUAACACCCGAAGCCUGUAGUCUAACCGCAAGGAGGACGCAGUCGAAGGUGGGAUUGAUGACUGGGGUGAAGUCGUAACAAGGUAUC
Molecule: ribosomal RNA, 216 nt
Filed under: uncultured bacterium
Lineage: Bacteria
Description: partial 16S ribosomal RNA
Rfam family: Bacterial small subunit ribosomal RNA
Source: RNAcentral